CACGUAGGGCGCAAGCGUUGUCCGGAAUUAUUGGGCGUAAAGAGCUCGUAGGUGGUUUGUUACGUCUGCUGUGAAAACCUAGGGCUUAACCCUGGGCUUGCAGUGGAUACGGGCAGACUAGAGGUAGGUAGGGGAGAAUGGAAUUCCUGGUGUAGCGGUGAAAUGCGCAGAUAUCAGGAGGAACACCGGUGGCGAAGGCGGUUCUCUGGGCCUUACCUGACACUGAAGCACGAAAGCGUGGGGAGCAAACAGG
Molecule: ribosomal RNA, 253 nt
Filed under: uncultured bacterium
Lineage: Bacteria
Description: partial 16S ribosomal RNA
Rfam family: Bacterial small subunit ribosomal RNA
Source: RNAcentral